AGUGAACGCUGGCGGUAGGCCUAACACAUGCAAGUCGAACGGCAGCACAGUAAGAGCUUGCUCUUACGGGUGGCGAGUGGCGGACGGGUGAGGAAUACAUCGGAAUCUACUUUUUCGUGGGGGAUAACGUAGCGAAACUUACGCUAAUACCGCAUACGACCUACGGGUGAAAGCAGGGGAUCUUCGGACCUUGCGCGAUUGAAUGAGCCGAUGUCGGAUUAGCUAGUUGGCGGGGUAAAGGCCCACCAAGGCGACGAUCCGUAGCUGGUCUGAGAGGAUGAUCAGCCACACUGGAACUGAGACACGGUCCAGACUCCUACGGGAGGCAGCAGUGGGGAAUAUUGGACAAAGGGCGCAAGCCUGAUCCAGCCAUACCGCGUGGGUGAAGAAGGCCUUCGGGUUGUAAAGCCCUUUUGUUGGGAAAGAAAAGCAGCAGGUUAAUACCCCGCUGUUCUGACGGUACCCAAAGAAUAAGCACCGGCUAACUUCGUG
Molecule: ribosomal RNA, 492 nt
Filed under: uncultured bacterium
Lineage: Bacteria
Description: partial 16S ribosomal RNA
Rfam family: Bacterial small subunit ribosomal RNA
Source: RNAcentral